RNAcentral lists this ribosomal RNA (432 nucleotides) under uncultured bacterium. RNAcentral describes it as "partial 16S ribosomal RNA". It matches the Rfam family "Bacterial small subunit ribosomal RNA", at positions 29 to 506 of the family's 1533-position model. The record is from RNAcentral.
AACGAACGCUGGCGGCAUGCCUAACACAUGCAAGUCGAACGAAGCCUUCGGGCUUAGUGGCGCACGGGUGCGUAACGCGUGGGAAUCUGCCCCUUGCUUCGGAAUAACAGUUAGAAAUGACUGCUAAUACCGGAUGAAGUCUUCGGACCAAAGAUUUAUCGGCAAGGGAUGAGCCCGCGUAGGAUUAGGUAGUUGGUGGGGUAAAGGCCUACCAAGCCGACGAUCCUUAGCUGGUCUGAGAGGAUGAUCAGCCACACUGGGACUGAGACACGGCCCAGACUCCUCCGGGGGGCAGCAGUGGGGAAUAUGGGACAGGGGGCGGAAGUCUGAUCCACUCAUGCCGGGGGAGUGAAGAAGGCCUUAGGGGAGUAAAGCUCUUUUAACAGGGAUGAAAAGGACGGUCCCGGGAGAAAAAGCACCGGAUAACACCGG